GGGCGCAUGUUCUAGCGGUAUGAUUUUCGCUUCGCAUCCGUGCGGGUAUGUGAAAGGUCGGGGGUUCAAUUCCCCCUGUGUCCA
This 84-nucleotide transfer RNA is filed under the name Trichodelitschia bisporula. It matches the Rfam family "tRNA". From Rfam's summary of the family: Transfer RNA (tRNA) molecules are approximately 80 nucleotides in length. The record is from Rfam by way of RNAcentral. Lineage: Eukaryota; Fungi; Ascomycota; Dothideomycetes; Phaeotrichales; Phaeotrichaceae.